AGCGAACGCUGGCGGCAGGCUUAACACAUGCAAGUCGAACGGGCAUCUUCGGAUGUCAGCGGCAGACGGGUGAGUAACACGUGGGAACGUACCCUUCGGUUCGGAACAACUCUGGGAAACUGGAGCUAAUACCGGAUACGCCCUUAUGGGGAAAGGUUUACUGCCGAAGGAUCGGCCCGCGUCUGAUUAGCUAGUUGGUGGGGUAACGGCCUACCAAGGCGACGAUCAGUAGCUGGUCUGAGAGGAUGAUCAGCCACACUGGGACUGAGACACGGCCCAGACUCCUACGGGAGGCAGCAGUGGGGAAUAUUGGACAAUGGGCGCAAGCCUGAUCCAGCCAUGCCGCGUGAGUGAUGAAGGCCUUAGGGUUGUAAAGCUCUUUUGUCCGGGACGAUAAUGACGGUACCGGAAGAAUAAGCCCCGGCUAACUUCGCG
Molecule: ribosomal RNA, 435 nt
Filed under: uncultured bacterium
Lineage: Bacteria
Description: partial 16S ribosomal RNA
Rfam family: Bacterial small subunit ribosomal RNA
Source: RNAcentral